CCCGCGCUCCUCCGGGCAGAGCGCGUGUGGCGGCCGAGCACAUGGGCCCGCGGGCCGGGCGGGCUCGGGGCGGCCGGGACGAGGAGGGGCGACGACGAGCUGCGAGCAAAGAUGUGCCCCGGGACCCCCGGCACCUUCCAGUGGAUUUCCUUGCGGAAAGGAUGUUGGCGGUCCCUGUGACCUGUGGAGACACGGCCAGAUCUGCCCUCCAGCCUGAUCUUUUGGCCAGAAGGAGAUUAAAAAGAUGCCCCUCAAGAUGGCUGUGCCUGUCAGCUGCAUGGAGCUUCGUUCAAGUAUUUUCUGAGCCUGAUGGAUUUACAGUGAUCUUCAGUGGUCUGGGGAAUAACGCUGGUGGAACCAUGCACUGGAAUGACACACGCCCGGCACAUUUCAGGAUACUAAAAGUGGUUUUAAGGGAGGCUGUGGCUGAAUGCCUCAUGGAUUCUUACAGCUUGGAUGUCCAUGGGGGACGAAGGACUGCAGCUGGCUGAGAGGGUUGAGAUCUCUGUUUACUUAGAUCUCUGCCAACUUCCUUUGGGUCUCCCUAUGGAAUGUAAGACCCCGACUCUUCCUGGUGAAGCAUCUGAUGCACGUUCCAUCCGGCGCUCAGCUGGGCUUGAGCUGACCAUACUCCCUGGAGCCUUCUCCCGAGGUGCGCGGGUGACCUUGGCACAUACAGCCAUCAUGAUGGUACUUUAAGUGGAGGCUGAAUCAUCUCCCCUUUGAGCUGCUUGGCACGUGGCUCCCUUGGUGUUCCCCUUUUACUGCCAGGACACUGAGAUUUGGAGAGUCUCUUCACCCUCUGAAAACAAGAGGAUGUGUAGCAUAGUGAGCAACAGCUGUGUGCCGGGGACUCAGCAUUAAGUAGCAUGGGAUUACUCAUGACUUCGCACUCAUGGCAGCCUCACAGAGUCUCACUCUGUGGUCCAGGCUGAAGUACAGUGGCAUGAUCCCAGGUCACUGCAACCCCCACCUCCCGGGUUCAAGUGAUCCUCCUGCCUCAGCCUCCCGAGUAGCUGGUAUUACAGGCGUGUGCCACAAAGCCUGGCUAAGUUUUGUAUUUUUAGUAGAGACGGGGUUUCACCAUGUUGGCCAGGUUGGUCUCGAACUCCUGACCUCAAGUGAUCCACUCACUUUGGCCUUUCAACGUGCUGGGAUUACAGGCGAGAGUCACCGCACCCGGACGACUCUGACAUUUUUGAAGAGUCCAGAAUCCUGUUACACCUGGGAUUUAGGCACUUUCAAUCUGAAAAAAUACAUAUCCUUUCAGCACUCUGGACGGACUUGAGAACUGUCCUUACGUGACCUAAAGCUGGAGUAUUUUGAGAUUGGAGAAUUAAGGCCAACAGAGAUUUUGAGAAACACAUUGAAGGAUCUGUUAACACUUGAUAUACCCAAUAAAAGCAGUGGUUGUGCCAGUGCUGAUCUGUCUUGAUGUGAAUGUGAACAAUGGGAACCUGAGCUGAGCAGUUAAUGCUAGGGUGACAGAAACUGGACCUCUCCCAAGACAUGUGACAGAGUAAUACAGCAGCCAACUUCUUCGCCAAAUUAAAGUUUUACAAGAUUUAACCUGUCAUCAAGACCUGGGAUUUUGGUGAGCCAGUCUUGGUGCUCUGUGUUCACCUGGUUCAUCUGAGGAGCUGCAUCUACCCUGCCCAUGCCAUAGAUCCUGCCCUGUUUGCUUCUCCUGUUGCUGCUAGUGGACAUGAGAAGGACAGAAUAACGGGCUCCCAGAUUCACAAGCCCCACCAAGAGGAUCACCCCAGGAACGCUUGGAGGCUGAGGAGUUCACUGAGGCUACUGCAUCUUGAGACUCAGGAUGAAGACCCAGCUUGGGGCUGUCAAAGGUUUUUUGCAUGUCUGACACCCAUGACUCCACCUGGACCUUAUGGCUCCACCCAGAAGCAAUUCAGCCCAACAGGAGGACAGCUUCAACCCAUUACGAUUUCAUCUCUGCCCCAACCACUCAGCAGCAAGCACCUGUUACCUGUCCACCCCCACCCCUUCCCCCAAACUGCCUUUGAAAAAUCCCUAACCUAUGAGCUUUGAAUAAGAUGAGUACGAACUUCAUCGCCCACGUGGCGUGGCCGGCCUCGUGUCUAUUAAAUUCUUUUUCUACUACAA
This 2124-nucleotide long non-coding RNA is filed under the name Homo sapiens (human). RNAcentral's name for it is "Pvt1 oncogene, transcript variant 24 (PVT1)". The stretch from base 34 to 211 matches the Rfam family "Pvt1 oncogene conserved region 1". The record is from RNAcentral. Lineage: Eukaryota; Metazoa; Chordata; Mammalia; Primates; Hominidae.